Molecule: ribosomal RNA, 421 nt
Filed under: uncultured bacterium
Lineage: Bacteria
Description: bacterial SSU rRNA
Rfam family: Bacterial small subunit ribosomal RNA
Source: RNAcentral
AUUGUUCGCAAUGGGCGCAAGCCUGACGACGCAACGCCGCGUGGAGGAUGAAGAUCUUCGGGUCGUAAACUCCUGUCGAGCGGGACGAACACCUGCCGGGCUAACAUCCAGGCAGGCUGACGGUACCGCUAAAGGAAGCCCCGGCUAACUCCGUGCCAGCAGCCGCGGUAAUACGGGGGGGGCAAGCGUUGUUCGGAAUUACUGGGCGUAAAGGGCUCGUAGGCGGCCAACUAAGUCAGACGUGAAAUCCCCAGGCUCAACCUGGGAACUGCGUCUGAUACUGGAUGGCUUGAAUCCGGGAGAGGGAUGCAGAAUUCCAGGUGUAGCGGUGAAAUGCGUAGAUAUCGGGAGGAACACCAGUGGCGAAGGCGAGUCUCUGGGCUGAUACUGACGCUGAUGCGCGAAAGCUAGGGGAGCAAAC